RNAcentral lists this long non-coding RNA (413 nucleotides) under Olea europaea (common olive). RNAcentral's name for it is "long non-coding RNA (OEUR_LNC001874)". Lineage: Eukaryota; Viridiplantae; Streptophyta; Magnoliopsida; Lamiales; Oleaceae. The record is from RNAcentral.
CUGCAGAUAUGUUAACAAAGGUAGUAACUAUUGAGAAACUAAAGUCUUGUUCAACUUCAGUUGGUCUUAGUACUUCAAAAUGAAGGCGAAGUUCCAGUAAGGCCUAAUAUUCGCCUCCAAGUAGGAGAUUGUUAGAAGUGGAGACAAAUUUUGAUUUUACUUUUUAGAGAUAAGGUUGAAAAUAAUAGAGAUGGAAACAAAGUUGAACUUUACCUCUUUAAAGGAUAAGUUGUAUUCAUCAAAUAAUUCUUUGCCACCAAGAAGAAAAUUUAAACAAGUAAAUCUACCAAGUCAAGCAAGAAAAGAAAGCCCAUUGGUUGAUCAAGUUCAUCUUUGAUUUUUCAACUUCUAGAGGAGGAAUUCAAGUUGUAUUUGUCAAAUGAUAAACCGCCUUACAAAAUCUAUAAAUAGGC